RNAcentral lists this ribosomal RNA (603 nucleotides) under uncultured Verrucomicrobiota bacterium. RNAcentral describes it as "bacterial SSU rRNA". It matches the Rfam family "Bacterial small subunit ribosomal RNA", at positions 470 to 1068 of the family's 1533-position model. Lineage: Bacteria; Pseudomonadati; Verrucomicrobiota. The record is from RNAcentral.
UGAUAGUACCAGAAGAGGAAGGGACGGCUAACUCUGUGCCAGCAGCCGCGGUAAUACAGAGGUCCCAAGCGUUGUUCGGAUUCAUUGGGCGUAAAGGGUGCGUAGGUGGCGCCGUAAGUCGGGUGUGAAAUUUCGGAGCUUAACUCCGAAACUGCAUUCGAUACUGCGGUGCUUGAGGACUGGAGAGGAGACUGGAAUCUAUGGUGUAGCAGUGAAAUGCGUAGAGAUCAUAAGGAAGACCAGUGGCGAAGGCGGGUCUCUGGACAGUUCCUGACACUGAGGCACGAAGGCCAGGGGAGCAAACGGGAUUAGAUACCCCGGUAGUCCUGGCAGUAAACGGUGCACGUUUGGUGUGGGGGGAUUCGACCCCUUCCGCGCCGGAGCUAACGCGUUAAACGUGCCGCCUGGGGAGUACGGUCGCAAGAUUAAAACUCAAAGAAAUUGACGGGGGCCCGCACAAGCGGUGGAGUAUGUGGCUUAAUUCGAUGCAACGCGAAGAACCUUACCAGGCCUUGACAUGCAUUUCUAAGUUGGUGAAAGCCAGCGAAUGUCGAAAGACAUAACUUGCACAGGUGCUGCAUGGCUGUCGUCAGCUCGUGUCGU